CCUACGGGUGGCAGCAGUGGGGAAUAUUGGGCAAUGGAGGAAACUCUGACCCAGCAAUGCCGCGUGAAUGAAGAAUGUCUUCUGAUUGUAAAGUUCUUUAUUCAGGGAAGAAUAAAAUGACGGUACCUGAAGAAUAAGCUCCGGCUAACUACGUGCCAGCAGCCGCGGUAAUACGUAGGGAGCAAGCGUUGUCCGGAUUUACUGGGUGUAAAGGGCGUGCAGCCGGAGAGACAAGUCAGAUGUGAAAUCCACGGGCUCAACCCGUGAACUGCAUUUGAAACUGUUUGCCUUGAGUGUCGGAGAGGUAAUCGGAAUUCCUAGUGUAGCGGUGAAAUGCGUAGAUAUUAGGAAGAACACCAGUGGCGAAGGCGGAUUACUGGACGAUAACUGACGGUGAGGCGCGAAAGCGUGGGGAGCAAACAGGAUUAGAUACCCUUGUAGUC
This 443-nucleotide ribosomal RNA is filed under the name uncultured bacterium. RNAcentral describes it as "partial 16S ribosomal RNA". It matches the Rfam family "Bacterial small subunit ribosomal RNA", at positions 338 to 795 of the family's 1533-position model. The record is from RNAcentral.